This 579-nucleotide ribosomal RNA is filed under the name uncultured Lachnospiraceae bacterium. RNAcentral's name for it is "bacterial SSU rRNA". It matches the Rfam family "Bacterial small subunit ribosomal RNA", at positions 159 to 756 of the family's 1533-position model. The record is from RNAcentral. Lineage: Bacteria; Bacillati; Bacillota; Clostridia; Lachnospirales; Lachnospiraceae.
ACUGCUAAUACCGCAUAAGCGCACAGUUGCUGCAUGGCACAGUGUGAAAAACUCCGGUGGUAUGAGAUGGACCCGCGUCUGAUGAGCUAGUUGGUGGGGUAACGGCCUACCAAGGCGACGAUCAGUAGCCGGCCUGAGAGGGUGAACGGCCACAUUGGGACUGAGACACGGCCCAAACUCCUACGGGAGGCAGCAGUGGGGAAUAUUGCACAAUGGGGGAAACCCUGAUGCAGCGACGCCGCGUGAGCGAAGAAGUAUUUCGGUAUGUAAAGCUCUAUCAGCAGGGAAGAAAAUGACGGUACCUGACUAAGAAGCACCGGCUAAAUACGUGCCAGCAGCCGCGGUAAUACGUAUGGUGCAAGCGUUAUCCGGAUUUACUGGGUGUAAAGGGAGCGUAGACGGUUGUGUAAGUCUGAUGUGAAAGCCCGGGGCUCAACCCCGGGACUGCAUUGGAAACUAUGUAACUAGAGUGUCGGAGAGGUAAGCGGAAUUCCUAGUGUAGCGGUGAAAUGCGUAGAUAUUAGGAGGACACCAGUGGCGAAGGCGGCUUACUGGACGAUCACUGACGUUGAGGCUCGA